AACGAACGCUAGCGGCGUGCUUAACACAUGCAAGUCGAACGCGAAAGUCCCUUCGGGGGCGAGUAGAGUGGCGCACGGGUGAGUAACGCGUAGGAACGUACCUAAGGGUGGGGAAUAACCACGGGAAACCGUGGCUAAUACCGCAUAAUAUCGCAAGAUCAAAGGAGGCCUCUACUUGUAAGCUUCCGCCGUUAGAGCGGCCUACGUCCUAUUAGCUAGUUGGUAGGGUAAAAGCCUACCAAGGCGAUGAUGGGUAACUGGUCUGAGAGGAUGAUCAGUCACACAGGAACUGAGACACGGUCCAGACUCCUACGGGAGGCAGCAGUGGGGAAUCUUGCACAAUGGGCGAAAGCCUGAUGCAGCAACGCCGCGUGGGUGAAGAAGGUUUUCGGAUUGUAAAGCCCUUUCGGUUGGGAAGAAGGGCGAAGUGGUUAAUACCCACCUCGUCUGACGGUACCAGAAUAAGAAGCACCGGCUAAUUCCGUGCCAGCAGCCGCGGUAAUACGGAAGGUGCAAGCGUUGUUCGGAA
This 529-nucleotide ribosomal RNA is filed under the name uncultured bacterium. Its description in RNAcentral is "bacterial SSU rRNA". It matches the Rfam family "Bacterial small subunit ribosomal RNA", at positions 28 to 550 of the family's 1533-position model. The record is from RNAcentral.